AUCGAACGCUGGCGGCAGGCCUAACACAUGCAAGUCGAGCGGAUGAAGGGAGCUUGCUCCUGGAUUCAGCGGCGGACGGGUGAGUAAUGCCUAGGAAUCUGCCUGGUAGUGGGGGAUAACGUCCGGAAACGGGCGCUAAUACCGCAUACGUCCUGAGGGAGAAAGUGGGGGAUCUUCGGACCUCACGCUAUCAGAUGAGCCUAGGUCGGAUUUGCUAGUUGGUGGGGUAAAGGCCUACCAAGGCGACGAUCCGUAACUGGUCUGAGAGGAUGAUCAGUCACACUGGAACUGAGACACGGUCGCGACUCUUACGGGAGGCAGCAGUGGGGAAUAUUGGACAAGGGGGGAAAGGCUGAUCCAGCCAUGCCGCGUGUGUGAAGAAGGUCCUCGGAUUGUAAAGCACUGUAAGUCGGGAGGAAGGGCAGUAAGUUAAUACCUGACUGUUUUGACGGUACCAACAGAAUAAGCACCGGCUAACUUCGUG
Molecule: ribosomal RNA, 484 nt
Filed under: uncultured bacterium
Lineage: Bacteria
Description: partial 16S ribosomal RNA
Rfam family: Bacterial small subunit ribosomal RNA
Source: RNAcentral